RNAcentral lists this ribosomal RNA (468 nucleotides) under uncultured bacterium. RNAcentral describes it as "partial 16S ribosomal RNA". It matches the Rfam family "Bacterial small subunit ribosomal RNA", at positions 28 to 507 of the family's 1533-position model. The record is from RNAcentral.
GACGAACGCUGGCGGCGUGCUUAACACAUGCAAGUCGAACGGAAAGGCCCUGCUUUUGUGGGGUGCUCGAGUGGCGAACGGGUGAGUAACACGUGAGUAACCUGCCCUUGACUUUGGGAUAACUUCAGGAAACUGGGGCUAAUACCGGAUAGGAGCUCCUGCUGCAUGGUGGGGGUUGGAAAGUUUCGGCGGUUGGGGAUGGACUCGCGGCUUAUCAGCUUGUUGGUGGGGUAGUGGCUUACCAAGGCUUUGACGGGUAGCCGGCCUGAGAGGGUGACCGGCCACAAUGGGACUGAGAGACGGCCCAGACUCCUACGGGAGGCAGCAGUGGGGAAUAUUGCACAAUGGGCGGAAGCCUGAGGCAGCAACGCCGCGUGCGGGAUGACGGCCUUCGGGUUGUAAACCGCUGUCGCCUGUGACGAAGCGGGAGUGACGGUAAUGGGUAAAGAAGCACCGGCUAACUACGUG